This 507-nucleotide ribosomal RNA is filed under the name Pseudomonas sp. LBA38. Its description in RNAcentral is "bacterial SSU rRNA". It matches the Rfam family "Bacterial small subunit ribosomal RNA", at positions 67 to 569 of the family's 1533-position model. The record is from RNAcentral. Lineage: Bacteria; Pseudomonadati; Pseudomonadota; Gammaproteobacteria; Pseudomonadales; Pseudomonadaceae.
CGGAUGAGUGGAGCUUGCUCCAUGAUUCAGCGGCGGACGGGUGAGUAAUGCCUAGGAAUCUGCCUGGUAGUGGGGGACAACGUUUCGAAAGGAACGCUAAUACCGCAUACGUCCUACGGGAGAAAGUGGGGGAUCUUCGGACCUCACGCUAUCAGAUGAGCCUAGGUCGGAUUAGCUAGUUGGUGAGGUAAAGGCUCACCAAGGCGACGAUCCGUAACUGGUCUGAGAGGAUGAUCAGUCACACUGGAACUGAGACACGGUCCAGACUCCUACGGGAGGCAGCAGUGGGGAAUAUUGGACAAUGGGCGAAAGCCUGAUCCAGCCAUGCCGCGUGUGUGAAGAAGGUCUUCGCAUUGUAAAGCACUUUAAGUUGGGAGGAAGGGCAGUAAGUUAAUACCUUGCUGUUUUGACGUUACCAACAGAAUAAGCACCGGCUAACUUCGUGCCAGCAGCCGCGGUAAUACGAAGGGUGCAAGCGUUAAUCGGAAUUACUGGGCGUAAAGCGCG